CCAAAGGCUCUUUUCAGAGCCAACCAUCUUUUCAGUGAAAGAUGCU
Loxodonta africana (African savanna elephant) is the source of this 46-nucleotide regulatory RNA element. It matches the Rfam family "Histone 3' UTR stem-loop". Rfam says of the family: The mRNAs of metazoan histone genes lack a poly-A tail. Lineage: Eukaryota; Metazoa; Chordata; Mammalia; Proboscidea; Elephantidae. The record is from Rfam.